UGGGGAAUAUUGCACAAUGGGCGCAAGCCUGAUGCAGCCAUGCCGCGAGUGUGAAGAAGGCCUUCGGGUUGUAAAGCACUUUCAGCGAGGAGGAAGGGUGGUGUGUUAAUAGCACAUUGCAUUGACGUUACUCGCAGAAGAAGCACCGGCUAACUCCGUGCCAGCAGCCGCGGUAAUACGGAGGGUGCAAGCGUUAAUCGGAAUUACUGGGCGUAAAGCGCACGCAGGCGGUUUGUUAAGUCAGAUGUGAAAUCCCCGCGCUUAACGUGGGAACUGCAUUUGAAACUGGCAAGCUAGAGUCUUGUAGAGGGGGGUAGAAUUCCAGGUGUAGCGGUGAAAUGCGUAGAGAUCUGGAGGAAUACCGGUGGCGAAGGCGGCCCCCUGGACAAAGACUGACGCUCAGGUGCGAAAGCGUGGGGAGCAAACA
This 427-nucleotide ribosomal RNA is filed under the name uncultured bacterium. Its description in RNAcentral is "partial 16S ribosomal RNA". It matches the Rfam family "Bacterial small subunit ribosomal RNA", at positions 355 to 774 of the family's 1533-position model. The record is from RNAcentral.